This 253-nucleotide unclassified non-coding RNA is filed under the name uncultured Caryophanales bacterium. Its description in RNAcentral is "uncultured Bacillales bacterium contains 16S-23S intergenic spacer region". It matches the Rfam family "Bacterial small subunit ribosomal RNA", at positions 524 to 776 of the family's 1533-position model. The record is from RNAcentral. Lineage: Bacteria; Bacillati; Bacillota; Bacilli; Caryophanales.
UACGUAGGUGGCAAGCGUUGUACGGAAUUAUUGGGCGUAAAGCGAGCGCAGGCGGUCUCUUAAGUCUGAUGUGAAAGCACACCGCUCAACCGGGGAGGGCCAUUGGAAACUGGGAGGCUUGAGUAUAGGAGAGGAGAGUGGAAUUCCACGUGUAGCGGUGAAAUGCGUAGAGAUGUGGAGGAACACCAGUGGCGAAGGCGACUCUUGGGCCUAUAACUGACGCUGAGGCGCGAAAGCGUGGGGAGCAAACAGG